AUUGAACGCUGGCGGAAUGCUUUACACAUGCAAGUCGAGCGGCAGCGCGGCCUUCGGGCUGGCGGCGAGCGGCGAACGGGUGAGUAAUGCAUCGGAACAUGCCCAGUCGUGGGGGAUAACACUUCGAAAGAAGUGCUAAUACCGCAUACGUCCUGAGGGGGAAAGCGGGGGAUCGCAAGACCUCGCGCGAUUGGAGUGGCCGAUGUCAGAUUAGCUAGUUGGUGGGGUAAAGGCCUACCAAGGCGACGAUCUGUAGCUGGUCUGAGAGGAUGAUCAGCCACACUGGGACUGAGACACGGCCCAGACUCCUACGGGAGGCAGCAGUGGGGAAUUUUGGACAAUGGGGGCAACCCUGAUCCAGCCAUUCCGCGUGAGUGAACAAGGCCUUCGGGUUGUAAAGCUCUUUCGGCAGGAACGAAACGGUGGGCUCUAACAUAGUCCGCUAAUGACGGUACCUGAAGAAGAAGCACCGGCUAACUACGUG
Molecule: ribosomal RNA, 484 nt
Filed under: uncultured bacterium
Lineage: Bacteria
Description: partial 16S ribosomal RNA
Rfam family: Bacterial small subunit ribosomal RNA
Source: RNAcentral